UCCGUAGGUGAACCUGCGGAAGGAUCAUUACCGAAUUGUCGACACGAGUUGUUGCUGGUCCUCAAAUGGGGGCAUGUGCACGCUCUGUUCACACAUCCACUCACACCUGUGCACCCUCUGUAGUUCUAUGGUCUGGGGGGGCUCUGCCCUCUCACCCGUGGUUCUAUGUCUUCACACACGCACUGUAAUAAGGUUUCAUGGAAUGCAUGACGCGUUUAACGCAAUACAAUACAACUUUCAGCAACGGAUCUCUUGGCUCUCGCAUCGAUGAAGAACGCAGCGAAAUGCGAUAAGUAAUGUGAAUUGCAGAAUUCAGUGAAUCAUCGAAUCUUUGAACGCACCUUGCGCCCUUUGGUAUUCCAGAGGGCAUGCCUGUUUGAGUAUCAUGAACACCUCAACUCUCACGGUCCGCCGCGAUGAGCUUGGACUUUGGGGGUCUUGCUGGCCUGCGGUCGGCUCCUCUCAAAUGAAUCAGCUUGCCAGUGUUUGGUGGCAUCACGGGUGUGAUAACUAUCUACGCUUGUGGUUUUCCACCAGGUAACCUUCAGCAAUGGAGGUUCGCUGGGGCUCACAAAUGUCCCUCCUUGGUGAGGACAGCUUCUUGAAUGUUUGAUCUCAAAUCAGGUAGGGCUACCCGCUGAACUUAAGCAUAUCAAUAAGCGGAGGA
Molecule: ribosomal RNA, 667 nt
Filed under: uncultured Tomentella/Thelophora
Lineage: Eukaryota; Fungi; Basidiomycota; Agaricomycetes; Thelephorales; Thelephoraceae
Description: eukaryotic LSU rRNA
Rfam family: 5.8S ribosomal RNA (bases 233-386)
Source: RNAcentral